UACGUAGGGUGCAAGCGUUGUCCGGAAUUAUUGGGCGUAAAGAGCUCGUAGGCGGUUUGUCGCGUCGAAUGUGAAAACCCGGGGCUCAACCCCGGGCCUGCAUUCGAUACGGGCAGACUAGAGUUCGGUAGGGGAGUCUGGAAUUCCUGGUGUAGCGGUGAAAUGCGCAGGAUAUCAGGAGGAACACCGGUGGCGAAGGCGGAUCUCUGGGCCAUUACUGACGCUGAGGAGCGAAAGCGUGGGGAGCGAACAGG
RNAcentral lists this ribosomal RNA (254 nucleotides) under uncultured bacterium. RNAcentral's name for it is "partial 16S ribosomal RNA". It matches the Rfam family "Bacterial small subunit ribosomal RNA", at positions 524 to 776 of the family's 1533-position model. The record is from RNAcentral.